Non-coding RNA from Pelobates cultripes (western spadefoot toad), 235 nucleotides. The record is from the annotation of a GenBank genome assembly. NCBI's taxonomy places the organism in Eukaryota, Metazoa, Chordata, Amphibia, Anura, Pelobatidae.
AACCAGAAUGCUUGGUUGUAUAGGGAGAGGUAUUAGCAGUAGAAAGAGGGAAGUGCUCAUGCCAUUGUACAGAACACUGGUGAGACCUCACUUGGAGUAUUGUACACAGUACUGGAGACCGUAUCUUCAGAAGGAUAUUGAUACCUUAGAGAGGGUUCAGAGAAGGGCUACUAAACUGGUUCAUGGAUUGCGGGAUAAAACUUACCAGGAAAGGUUAAAGGAUCUUAACAUGUAU